UACGGAGGGGCUAGCGUUGUUCGGAAUUACUGGGCGUAAAGCGCGCGUAGGCGGACCUGCAAGUCGGGGGUGAAAGCCCGAGGCUCAACCUCGGAACUGCCUUCGAUACUGCGGUCUCGAGUCCGGGAGAGGUGAGUGGAAUUCCGUAAGUGUAGAGGUGAAAUUCGAUAGAUAUUAGGAAGAACACCAGUGGCGAAGGCGG
This 202-nucleotide ribosomal RNA is filed under the name uncultured bacterium. RNAcentral describes it as "partial 16S ribosomal RNA". It matches the Rfam family "Bacterial small subunit ribosomal RNA", at positions 524 to 724 of the family's 1533-position model. The record is from RNAcentral.